GAGAUGCCAAUAAGGAUUUGGCUUUCGGGGAGAUGCCAAUAAGGAUUGGGCUUUCAGGGAGAAAUGCCAAUAAGGAUUGGGCUUUAAAUAUGCCAAUAAGGAUUGGGCUUUAAAUGUGCCAAUAAGGACUGGGCUUUAAAUAUACCAAUAAGAAUUAGGCUCUAAAUGUGCCAAUAAAGAUUGGGCUUUGAGAGAGGUGCCAAUGAGUAUUGGCUUUAUGGGUG
RNAcentral lists this long non-coding RNA (224 nucleotides) under Lathyrus oleraceus (garden pea). Its description in RNAcentral is "Pisum sativum (pea) long non-coding RNA (PSAT_LNC015976)". The record is from RNAcentral. Lineage: Eukaryota; Viridiplantae; Streptophyta; Magnoliopsida; Fabales; Fabaceae.